AACAUUUUGGCUGUCCCCCCCCCCCCCCAGGCUUACCUGAUCAACAGUGUGUGGAACUGCUACAAGUACAUCAACAACAGGAAUGUGCAGGAGAGCGCUGUUUACCCUAACUUCAUGGCCCCUCCACAGUACAUCCUGCCUACCUACGAGAUGGCAAUGAAGAUGCCAGAGAAAGAGCCCCCUCCCCCCUACAUGCCUGCCUGAAGACCCCGUGCCCCCCCGUCUCUACCCCCAUCUAUAUGUGUGUGUGGGCCACCCAGAGCUCGUCAUUUUGACCCCACCAUGCAUUUCUAGAGAGGAGGGAUACUCUUUAUAAAGUCUUGCUAACAUUCAAACCCGUGUUAUAUUGUAGACAAGUGAGAGGGGCAGAUGCCGUGUAGUGUAUAAAGCGAUGAAAGCUUUACGACUUUUCUUUCCUUGUCUCGCCCCGUCUUUUGAUGCAUUAAUAAAAAAAGGGAUAUUGUGAAAGUACCAUCGCUUCAAUGCCUUUCACCAGUCCAGCUUUAGAAAAACAAUAUCCUUUCCUUAUAGAUUGGUAUUAUAACGCGUGAAUGUAAAAAGGAAUACUCUUAAGACAAUCCACUUAUGAUAACUCAUCUUUAUCCUUUAAUUGUUUUUUGCUUGUUAAAUUAUCUAGAUUUUAUUCUAAGAGUUUGAUUGGAACGUUUUGAAGCACUUUCUCUUUAUCCCUUUAUUUAUUUAGCCUUGGACAUCCAUCCGCCACCUGUGUGUGCCAUGUUCAUUCUCCGCCACCGCCUUUGUGAUCUUGCGUUGUUAGCUUAGUCAAGCUAGUGUAUUGUGUUGCAGUUCGAAGCGUCCAGACACUGCUGGUUAAAGGGAUAGUACACCAACAUUUGGCAGAUGUUUUCAGACCUCAAAAUUUGUCCAAUGUCAAGAUUAAAUAAUAAUACUUCUUAACAAAAGUCCACUUUGGAGGACUGAAAACAUCAGACAAACGUUGGUUUUGAAGUGGACUGUCCCUUUAAGGAGAGCGUAAGGUUCACCUGGAGGGAACGAAUGGCUAGUGUGAACAGUACUGGAUCCAUGCUACUCUUUCUUUCUGCCUUUUUCUUUACAUUGUGUUUUGAUCCUUGUGGGAAACAAAUUACUUCAAUAAACCAUUCAAAAACAUUUUGUAUCCAU
Salvelinus sp. IW2-2015 is the source of this 1143-nucleotide non-coding RNA. The record is from RefSeq and is a predicted model, not a curated record. NCBI's taxonomy places the organism in Eukaryota, Metazoa, Chordata, Actinopteri, Salmoniformes, Salmonidae.